This 496-nucleotide ribosomal RNA is filed under the name uncultured bacterium. RNAcentral's name for it is "partial 16S ribosomal RNA". It matches the Rfam family "Bacterial small subunit ribosomal RNA", at positions 28 to 506 of the family's 1533-position model. The record is from RNAcentral.
GACGAACGCUGGCGGCGUGCCUAAUACAUGCAAGUUGAGCGCUGAAGGUUGGUACUUGUACCAACUGGAUGAGCAGCGAACGGGUGAGUAACGCGUGGGGAAUCUGCCUUUGAGCGGGAGACAACAUUUGGAAACGAAUGCUAAUACCGCAUAAAAACUUUAAACACAAGUUUUAAGUUUGAAAGAUGCAAUUGCAUCACUCAAAGAUGAUCCCGCGUUGUAUUAGCUAGUUGGUGAGGUAAAGGCUCACCAAGGCGAUGAUACAUAGCCGACCUGAGAGGGUGAUCGGCCACAUUGGGACUGAGACACGGCCCAAACGCCUACGGGAGGCAGCAGUAGGGAAUCUUCGGCAAUGGACGAAAGUCUGACCGAGCAACGCCGCGUGAGUGAAGAAGGUUUUCGGAUCGUAAAACUCUGUUGGUAGAGAAGAACGUUGGUGAGAGUGGAAAGCUCAUCAAGUGACGGUAACUACCCAGAAAGGGACGGCUAACUACGU